This 1387-nucleotide ribosomal RNA is filed under the name Bacillus sp. FR-W2C1. Its description in RNAcentral is "bacterial SSU rRNA". It matches the Rfam family "Bacterial small subunit ribosomal RNA", at positions 15 to 1383 of the family's 1533-position model. Lineage: Bacteria; Bacillati; Bacillota; Bacilli; Caryophanales; Bacillaceae. The record is from RNAcentral.
GAUCCUGGCUCAGGACGAACGCUGGCGGCGUGCCUAAUACAUGCAAGUCGAGCGAAUGAUAGGGAGCUUGCUCCCUUGAUUUAGCGGCGGACGGGUGAGUAACACGUGGGCAACCUACCUGUAAGACUGGGAUAACUUCGGGAAACCGGAGCUAAUACCGGAUACUUUUUUUUCUCGCAUGAGAAGAGAUGGAAAGACGGUUUCGGCUGUCACUUACAGAUGGGCCCGCGGCGCAUUAGCUAGUUGGUGAGGUAAUGGCUCACCAAGGCCACGAUGCGUAGCCGACCUGAGAGGGUGAUCGGCCACACUGGGACUGAGACACGGCCCAGACUCCUACGGGAGGCAGCAGUAGGGAAUCUUCCGCAAUGGACGAAAGUCUGACGGAGCAACGCCGCGUGAACGAAGAAGGCUUUCGGGUCGUAAAGUUCUGUUGUUAGGGAAGAACAAGUACCAGAGUAACUGCUGGUACCUUGACGGUACCUAACCAGAAAGCCACGGCUAACUACGUGCCAGCAGCCGCGGUAAUACGUAGGUGGCAAGCGUUGUCCGGAAUUAUUGGGCGUAAAGCGCGCGCAGGUGGUUCCUUAAGUCUGAUGUGAAAGCCCACGGCUCAACCGUGGAGGGUCAUUGGAAACUGGGGAACUUGAGUGCAGAAGAGGAAAGUGGAAUUCCAAGUGUAGCGGUGAAAUGCGUAGAGAUUUGGAGGAACACCAGUGGCGAAGGCGACUUUCUGGUCUGUAACUGACACUGAGGCGCGAAAGCGUGGGGAGCGAACAGGAUUAGAUACCCUGGUAGUCCACGCCGUAAACGAUGAGUGCUAAGUGUUAGAGGGUUUCCGCCCUUUAGUGCUGCAGCUAACGCAUUAAGCACUCCGCCUGGGGAGUACGGCCGCAAGGCUGAAACUCAAAGGAAUUGACGGGGGCCCGCACAAGCGGUGGAGCAUGUGGUUUAAUUCGAAGCAACGCGAAGAACCUUACCAGGUCUUGACAUCCUUUUGCCCUCCCUAGAGAUAGGGACUUCCCUUCGGGGACAAAAGUGACAGGUGGUGCAUGGUUGUCGUCAGCUCGUGUCGUGAGAUGUUGGGUUAAGUCCCGCAACGAGCGCAACCCUUGAUCUUAGUUGCCAGCAUUUAGUUGGGCACUCUAAGGUGACUGCCGGUGACAAACCGGAGGAAGGUGGGGAUGACGUCAAAUCAUCAUGCCCCUUAUGACCUGGGCUACACACGUGCUACAAUGGAUGGUACAAAGAGCUGCGAACCCGCGAGGGUAAGCGAAUCUCAUAAAGCCAUUCUCAGUUCGGAUUGUAGGCUGCAACUCGCCUACAUGAAGCCGGAAUCGCUAGUAAUCGUGGAAUCAGCAUGCCACGGUGAAUACGUUCCCGGGGCCUG